GUGGGGAAUCUUCCGCAAUGGACGAAAGUCUGACGGAGCGACGCCGCGUGAGUGAAGAAGGCCUUCGGGUCGUAAAGCUCUGUCAUCAGGGACGAACGGCCGGUGGAGUGGAAAGCCACCGGAUUGACGGUACCUGAGAAGGAAGCCACGGCUAACUACGUGCCAGCAGCCGCGGUAAUACGUAGGUGGCAAGCGUUGUCCGGAAUUAUUGGGCGUAAAGCGCGCGCAGGUGGGAUCUUAAGUCCAUUUUUAAAGUUCGGAGCUCAACUCCGUGAUGGGAUGGAAACUGGGAUUCUUGAGUACCGGAGAGGAAAGCGGAAUUCCCCGUGUAGCGGUGAAAUGCGUAGAUAUGGGGAGGAACACCAGUGGCGAAGGCGGCUUUCUGGACAGUAUCUGACACUGAGGCGCGAAAGCCAGGGGAGCGAACGGGAUUAGAUACCCGAGUAGUCC
RNAcentral lists this ribosomal RNA (450 nucleotides) under uncultured bacterium. RNAcentral's name for it is "partial 16S ribosomal RNA". It matches the Rfam family "Bacterial small subunit ribosomal RNA", at positions 354 to 796 of the family's 1533-position model. The record is from RNAcentral.